RNAcentral lists this non-coding RNA (229 nucleotides) under Bacillus sp. (in: firmicutes). RNAcentral describes it as "Bacillus sp. T-box sequence". It matches the Rfam family "T-box leader". Rfam says of the family: Uncharged tRNA acts as the effector for transcription antitermination of genes in the T-box leader family. T-boxes are found upstream of many aminoacyl-tRNA synthetase genes and some amino acid biosynthetic genes usually in Gram-positive bacteria. Lineage: Bacteria; Bacillati; Bacillota; Bacilli; Caryophanales; Bacillaceae. The record is from RNAcentral.
CGAAAAGUGUUGAAGAGGAAAAGUAAGAAAAAAGAUGCUUUUUAGAGAGAACCAUCACCGGCUGAAAGUGGUUUAAGCCUCUCCUUUUUCCGAAGUGCGCCUCAGAGCCUCAAUUUGAACGGAUGCCCAUGUUUCCUAGUAGAUUUGAGCGGAACUUAUCCGUUAACAAGUUAAAGUUGAGGCUUCUGAAGCCUAAACAGAGUGGAACCGCGCAUAAAGCGUCUCUGUC